Molecule: ribosomal RNA, 207 nt
Filed under: uncultured bacterium
Lineage: Bacteria
Description: partial 16S ribosomal RNA
Rfam family: Bacterial small subunit ribosomal RNA
Source: RNAcentral
CGUCUAGGCGGAGUGGCAAGUCAGGUGUGAAAGCCCACGGCUCAACCGUGGAAUUGCACUUGAAACUGCUACUCUUGAGUACGGAAGAGGAAAGCGGAAUUCCUGGUGUAGCGGUGAAAUGCGUAGAUAUCAGGAAGAACACCGGUGGCGAAGGCGGCUUUCUGGUCCGAUACUGACGCUGAAGCGCGAAAGUGUGGGGAGCAAACA